Non-coding RNA from Artomyces pyxidatus, 104 nucleotides. Lineage: Eukaryota; Fungi; Basidiomycota; Agaricomycetes; Russulales; Auriscalpiaceae. The record is from the annotation of a GenBank genome assembly.
GCCGGAAUAGCUCAGCUGGGAGAGCAACAGACUGAAGAGAAUCACGCGGUCUGGUCCCGUGGCCCCUAUUCUGGAGGUCGGGCGUUCGAUCCGCCCUUCUGGCA